Molecule: ribosomal RNA, 467 nt
Filed under: uncultured bacterium
Lineage: Bacteria
Description: partial 16S ribosomal RNA
Rfam family: Bacterial small subunit ribosomal RNA
Source: RNAcentral
GACGAACGCUGGCGGCGUGCUUAACACAUGCAAGUCGAACGGAAAGGCCCUGCUUUUGUGGGGUGCUCGAGUGGCGAACGGGUGAGUAACACGUGAGUAACCUGCCCUUGACUUUGGGAUAACUUCAGGAAACUGGGGCUAAUACCGGAUAGGGGCUCCUGCUGCAUGGUGGGGGUUGGAAAGUUUCGGCGGUUGGGGAUGGACUCGCGGCUUAUCAGCUUGUUGGUGGGGUAGUGGCUUACCAAGGCUUUGACGGGUAGCCGGCCUGAGAGGGUGACCGGCCACAUUGGGACUGAGAUACGGCCCAGACUCCUACGGGAGGCAGCAGUGGGGAAUAUUGCACAAUGGGCGGAAGCCUGAUGCAGCAACGCCGCGUGCGGGAUGACGGCCUUCGGGUUGUAAACCGCUUUCGCCUGUGACGAAGCGUGAGUGACGGGAAUGGGUAAAGAAGCACCGGCGAACUACGU